RNAcentral lists this ribosomal RNA (253 nucleotides) under uncultured bacterium. RNAcentral describes it as "partial 16S ribosomal RNA". It matches the Rfam family "Bacterial small subunit ribosomal RNA", at positions 524 to 776 of the family's 1533-position model. The record is from RNAcentral.
UACGGAGGGUGCAAGCGUUAUCCGGAUUUAUUGGGUUUAAAGGGUGCGUAGGCGGACCUUUAAGUCAGUGGUGAAAUCCUGCAGCUUAACUGUAGAACUGCCAUUGAUACUGAAGGUCUUGAGUGCGGUUGAGGUAGGCGGAAUGUGUAGUGUAGCGGUGAAAUGCUUAGAUAUUACACAGAACACCGAUUGCGUAGGCAGCUUACUAAACCGUAACUGACGCUGAUGCACGAAAGCGUGGGUAGCGAACAGG